UGGGGGAUAUUGCACAAUGGGCGAAAGCCUGAUGCAGCGACGCCGCGUGGGGGAUGAAGGCCUUCGGGUUGUAAACUUCUUUUGCUCUGAACAAGGCAUGCCUUUGGGGUGUGUUGAGUGUAGGGGUUGAUUAGCGCCGGCUAACUACGUGCCAGCAGCCGCGGUAAUACGUAGGGCGCAAGCGUUGUCCGGAAUUAUUGGGCGUAAAGGGCUUGUAGGUGGCUGGUUGCGUCUGUCGUGAAAGCUCAUGGCUUAACUGUGGGUUUGCGGUGGGUACUGGCUGGCUUGAGUGCAGUAGGGGAGGCUGGAAUUCCUGGUGUAGCGGUGGAAUGCGCAGAUAUCAGGAGGAAUACCGGUGGCGAAGGCGGGUCUCUGGGCUGUUACUGACGCUGAGGAGCGAAAGCGUGGGGAGCGAACAGG
RNAcentral lists this ribosomal RNA (420 nucleotides) under Fusobacteriota bacterium. Its description in RNAcentral is "Fusobacteria bacterium partial 16S ribosomal RNA". It matches the Rfam family "Bacterial small subunit ribosomal RNA", at positions 355 to 776 of the family's 1533-position model. The record is from RNAcentral. Lineage: Bacteria; Fusobacteriati; Fusobacteriota.